Mastomys coucha (southern multimammate mouse) is the source of this 353-nucleotide long non-coding RNA. RefSeq lists it as uncharacterized. The transcript has 4 exons. NCBI's taxonomy places the organism in Eukaryota, Metazoa, Chordata, Mammalia, Rodentia, Muridae. The record is from RefSeq and is a predicted model, not a curated record.
AUAAAGAUUUUUGAUUGCCUCUGAAAAGAUACCACUUAACACGAGCACAUGCAAACAUGAUGGUGUCAGUUUAACUGUCUGCAGGCAGAAGAUAGAAUGCUGGGAGCCUUACACGUCAUCAGUCUGGAUUCAGCCAUCUGUACCAGCUCCAAGCAGCAGAAGAAAGGCCAAGAAAAUCAGGACUGGUGGCAUUCUCCCAGGAAGGCUGCUCAGGUUGGAGAAGGCAGAGGAGACACAGCCCUUGGAAGAGCAUGAAGGAGUAAAGGAGGACAACAUGAGUCUGGGAGAAUAUGCAACAUGGCCUUUCAGAAAUGGAAGUUUCACUCCCUGGCUUCAUGGACACAGCUCUGACC